RNAcentral lists this ribosomal RNA (117 nucleotides) under Erinaceus europaeus (western European hedgehog). Lineage: Eukaryota; Metazoa; Chordata; Mammalia; Eulipotyphla; Erinaceidae. The record is from RNAcentral.
GUCUACGGCCAUACCACCCUGAAUACGCCCGAUCUCCUCUGAUCUUGGAAGCUAAGGAAGCCACACACUAAUGUACAUACUAUUAUUUCCAAGUAGAGAACAAAAGAUGCCUUAACA